CUUGCUUCUCUUGAGAGCGGCGGACGGGUGAGUAAUGCCUAGGAAUCUGCCUGGUAGUGGGGGAUAACGUUCGGAAACGGACGCUAAUACCGCAUACGUCCUACGGGAGAAAGCAGGGGACCUUCGGGCCUUGCGCUAUCAGAUGAGCCUAGGUCGGAUUAGCUAGUUGGUGGGGUAAUGGCUCACCAAGGCGACGAUCCGUAACUGGUCUGAGAGGAUGAUCAGUCACACUGGAACUGAGACACGGUCCAGACUCCUACGGGAGGCAGCAGUGGGGAAUAUUGGACAAUGGGCGAAAGCCUGAUCCAGCCAUGCCGCGUGUGUGAAGAAGGUCUUCGGAUUGUAAAGCACUUUAAGUUGGGAGGAAGGGUUGUAGAUUAAUACUCUGCAAUUUUGACGUUACCGACAGAAUAAGCACCGGCUAACUCUGUGCCAGCAGCCGCGGUAAUACAGAGGGUGCAAGCGUUAAUCGGAAUUACUGGGCGUAAAGCGCGCGUAGGUGGUUUGUUAAGUUGGAUGUGAAAUCCCC
This 529-nucleotide ribosomal RNA is filed under the name uncultured bacterium. Its description in RNAcentral is "bacterial SSU rRNA". It matches the Rfam family "Bacterial small subunit ribosomal RNA", at positions 79 to 604 of the family's 1533-position model. The record is from RNAcentral.